Molecule: long non-coding RNA, 1020 nt
Filed under: Serinus canaria (Common canary)
Lineage: Eukaryota; Metazoa; Chordata; Aves; Passeriformes; Fringillidae
Description: lncRNA (ENSSCAG00000003080.1)
Source: RNAcentral
GCCACACAGCCCUUGCCUACGUGACUGUCAUGAACACUCAGAUCCAGCCCUGGUUCCUUCUUGAGCUUCCCCCAUGGAAGAUGAGGGGUCCUCACUGUGCUCAGAUGCCAAGGUACCUGGGCAAGUAUCAACACCAAGCACCUUCCCACAGGAACAUCUUCACACCUCUCCAUGGAGAAGAAGUGGGAAUGCAGCAAUGCAGGCCUGCCUCAGUGGAUUGGAAACACUCACAGUGCAUGUUGGCUCAGACUCCAGCCUGCCCUGUGCUGCUGGGAGGCACUGGGCUCACCCAGGGCUGUGCUGGGCACCAGCAUCUCUGAGCAGGCUGCUGGGGCUCCUGGCUAGUGUGGAAAUGCAGCCCCUGGAAGAGGAGCCACAGGGAGCAGGCACAGCUCCUCCUCUGUUUACUGAGGCGAGUGUGGUCCCCAGAUUCACUCUCCAGAGUAUCCUGGCUUAAGCAGACAGCAGAAAAAUUCAUUCAAAUUAGCAGCAUGUGCCCCUUUCUCUGCUUUCAGCCUGCUGAGCAGUCAGGUGGGUUUUCCCCUCAGCCUGGGCUGUCUGUGAGUUCUGCAACACAUGUGGAGGUCUUAAGCCACCAUUAGUCACCAGGGCACAGUCCUUGUCUCAGGGGAGAUGGGGAUUUUGAGGGGAUUUUGUACACAUGUCUGGAAGGCAGCAUUAGGGAAUAAUUGUUGCAUGCAGCAUGCUAUUUCUGGAACCCUUCCCUCCUCAGCAGUCAUUUUCCUCGAUCUUCCUUGAUUUAGUGAUUCAAAACUCCCAUUUCCUUCUUUAUUUGGACUUGUACAGUGUUUUAUUUCCAUUUCUGUUUUCAGUCUAUUCUAUGACAUUGGGCCAAGCUGUUCAAUGUCUGUCUGUUGUUCCCUCUUUCCCUCCACGUCCAUCAUGACCUGUCUGGGACUGUUUUGAAUGGAAAAAAAGAACAUUUUAGCUUGUAUACAUGUGGGUUGUGGAGCAAGAUGACCUUUCAAUGUGCAGUUGUACAAUAGAAGAAGGUUCUCC